Molecule: ribosomal RNA, 451 nt
Filed under: uncultured bacterium
Lineage: Bacteria
Description: partial 16S ribosomal RNA
Rfam family: Bacterial small subunit ribosomal RNA
Source: RNAcentral
GGCGAACGCUGGCGGCAGGCCUAAUACAUGCAAGUCGAGCGGCCGUAGCAAUACGGCAGCGGCAGACGGGAGAGUAACACGUGGGAACGUACCUUUCGGUUCGGAACAACCCAGGGAAACUCGGGCUAAUACCGGAUACGUCCGUAAGGAGAAAGAUUUAUCGCCGAAAGGUCGGCCCGCGUCUGAUUAGCUUGUUGGUGAGGUAACGGCUCACCAAGGCGACGAUCAGUAGCUGGUCUGAGAGGAUAAUCAGCCUCACUGGGACUGAGACACGGCCCAGACUCCUACGGGAGGCAGCAGUAGGGAAUAUUGGACAAUGGGCGCAAGCCUGAUCCAGCCAUGCCGCGUGAGUGAUGAAGGCCCUAGGGUUGUAAAGCUCUUUCGGCGGGGAAGAUAAUGACGGUACCCGCAGAAGAAGCCCCGGCUAACUUCGUGCCAGCCGCCGCCGUAA